UCAAGUUGUGUUUGCUGGAAACCAGGUAGCAGGGGUUGUGACAAAGCUAGGACAAGGGGAAGAACGAACUCCGCGACGAACCCACAACAGCCGGCGGCCGAUGAGUGCAAGGAGGAGGAAAUCAUCGAGGGGCUUCCUGAGCCGUUCAGUAGGGACGAGCUCCUUGACGUCCUGGUCCAGUUCGCCUCGGUCGGUCCCGCCGGCCCUUCCCCCGGAGGCACGGGCCGCAAGCUCUUAGUGGACAGGGUGCCCGCCCGCACCUCGAUCGACGAGCUGAGGAGGUUCUUCUCCGAGUUCGGAGAGAUCGAGGCAGGAUCCCUCGUCGCCGACCACGCAACCGGGCAGUUCUGUGGGUACGCAACCUUCCUCUACAAGUCUCCCGAGGGGAUCGCCAAGGGGCUUGAGGAGCCCAGGAAGGUGUUCGACGGGUGCGAGCUCCAUUGCAGGCACGCACAGAGGCAGACCAAGAGGAAGUGUGCCACUGCCGCACCUGAAGACACCGGUUGCCAGAUAAAUGUCACUCGUGCAGCGGCCUUCCAAUUUCCGUUCCGAAGGAGAUACUCUCAACUUCCUCCACGCAGUCACUUCUAG
RNAcentral lists this ribosomal RNA (591 nucleotides) under Triticum aestivum (bread wheat). Its description in RNAcentral is "partial small subunit ribosomal RNA". The record is from RNAcentral. Lineage: Eukaryota; Viridiplantae; Streptophyta; Magnoliopsida; Poales; Poaceae.